This 447-nucleotide ribosomal RNA is filed under the name uncultured bacterium. Its description in RNAcentral is "bacterial SSU rRNA". It matches the Rfam family "Bacterial small subunit ribosomal RNA", at positions 330 to 794 of the family's 1533-position model. The record is from RNAcentral.
CCCAGACUCCUACGGGAGGCAGCAGUGGGGAAUAUUGGACAAUGGGGGAAACCCUGAUCCAGCGACGCCGCGUGAGUGAAGAAGUAUUUCGGUACGUAAAGCUCUAUCAGCAGGAAAGAAAAUGACGGUACCUGACUAAGAAGCCCCGGCUAACUACGUGCCAGCAGCCGCGGUAAUACGUAGGGGGCGAGCGUUAUCCGGAUUUACUGGGUGUAAAGGGAGCGUAGACGGCUGGUCAAGUCUGAAGUGAAAGCCCGGGGCUUAACCCCGGAACUGCUUUGGAAACUGUGCAGCUAGAGUGCAGGAGAGGUAAGUGGAAUUCCUAGUGUAGCGGUGAAAUGCGUAGAUAUUAGGAGGAACACCAGUGGCGAAGGCGGCUUACUGGACUGUAACUGACGUUGAGGCUCGAAAGCGUGGGGAGCAAACAGGAUUAGAUACCCGUGUACU